RNAcentral lists this long non-coding RNA (1017 nucleotides) under Chinchilla lanigera (long-tailed chinchilla). Its description in RNAcentral is "lncRNA (ENSCLAG00000028046.1)". The record is from RNAcentral. Lineage: Eukaryota; Metazoa; Chordata; Mammalia; Rodentia; Chinchillidae.
UUUUCAUGAGCAAGGUGCUGCAGGAUCUACUCUUGUCACACUGUGCCCCUCAGCACAGGGGCAAGGCUGUCCCAGAGACAGCCACUUGCCCUUCAUCAGUGGGACUGGACUAUGUGUAUGGGGUGGGUCCUUUGAACAGCAAGGAAGUAAGACUCACCUGCUCAGUCUGUAAAGGUUCUAAAGAGAGAGAUGCUCUUCCAGUGCCUUCCAUGCUGCUAGCCUGCUGGACAGCUGUCUUGGCACCGUCUUGGGAAAUGACACAUACUGCAGAGGAUGGAUGGGAGUCAGAUUUUCCCUGGAGGCGUGGUAGACGUCCUACAGCUGAGCUUGCCUGGUUCCAUUACUUAGUUCUCAGCGUCCUAUCAAAGACAAUGUCAUUAACAUAGUCCUUAGGGAACAAUACUGACCAAGGUCAUGCCACAAAACUUUGAAGACACUCUUGAAGAAGAAAAUAACCUUCCAUGUACAAUCUGGUUAGGAAUAAACUACAGAACUAAUCUUCCUUUUUGAGUUUUAUAAAAUAAAAUGUUAAACAAUCUGAAGAGAACUUUUCUACCUUUGUCUAACCCACAUUCUUGUCUUUAUUGAUUGAUGUAUUAAUUACAGGAGUUGAGUAAGUUACAUUAUAUGAAAAAAAAAUGAAAAAUAGGACCAACUUCACAUAUAAACUGGGAACCAGGACAUCAAAACUCUCUCCAGUUUAGGGACUUCCCUCUUGUUUUUCCUAUAUUUUUAUCCUGAAUAACCACUUAGUCUUCUCUUUUGCCAAGUCUCACACUGUACUCAGCUAGUAUACAUAGCAAAAGUUACUCAACCAAAAGAUUUUUAAAAAUUUCUUUUGUAAAAUGUCAGUUCAGACUCAAGUUAAAAUCUUUUAAUUCUGAUAUUUGAAAGAAAGGGAUUCAGGGGUAGUUAUGAAGGCAAGAUGAAAUUCAGUACUUGCCAAAUUACUCUCACCACUGCUGAGGGUAAAUAUUUGUAAAUUGAAGAAAGAAGAGAAUGCAAAUCCUAAUCCAA